Molecule: long non-coding RNA, 844 nt
Organism: Diorhabda carinulata
Lineage: Eukaryota; Metazoa; Arthropoda; Insecta; Coleoptera; Chrysomelidae
Exons: 3
Source: RefSeq, a predicted model, not a curated record
CGAGACAACAACCUAAGAUUAUUGAAAUGAACAACGUCCAUCUUGCAAAGGUGUUUGAUUUUGUUUGUUUAUUAGCUAUUUGCAUUUUUGUGCAUUUAAAAGUUAUUAUUUGUUGCGAAUUGUGCUAUCGUGUUUACGUAAUCAAUAUGAGUAAACGAGUAAAGGCCUGCCGUGUACCAGGAUGCACGAAUAAGCAAGCGAAAAGACAUUCCAUUCCUACGAAUGAAGACGUUUGCAGAAUUUGGUUGCAAAGAAUAAAUAACCCCAAGUUAAUGCUUGCAGAUUCAGUAUUAUCAUCACAUAGAAUGUGAUAUUCAUUUUGAACCAAUUUGUAGAAACCAUAAUGGCAGGUUAAAAAAACUUUCACUGCCAAGUUUACAUUUACCUGUUAAAGCAUAUAACAUUCGGUUCGUUUCUACAAUUUGUUGACUGUUCGAACAAGUAAAGUUAAAUUUUUGGAACUCUUAGUUGGGCGAACUGAGUAACUCAACUAGAAGAUCUGUGUUGUGCCAGAAACCGGAAGAAUCAAGAGGAUAUUGGUUGUUCCUGUGCAGUCCGAGCCAAUGGAAAGGAUCUUCAUUCUAUUGCUGUAAGUGUUUUUAAUGUCAUAUAGAGGAAAUAUUAAUUAUUUACCUGACACAUCUGACGAUUCUGACUCAAAUUCUUAUUCAAUUAACUCAAAUUCAGGAUCAAACUCUGUUAAUACUAAAAUAAAAUUUAACUUAGCAUCACCAAAACUUUUUUCUACGAAUAAUUUUAAUAAAAUGGCUACUCCACAAUUGCCUAUUUUAAAAAAAGAGUAUCUUGAUAUGAUACCCGAAUUUGAUGGAAACAAUGCAUUACU